This 492-nucleotide ribosomal RNA is filed under the name uncultured bacterium. RNAcentral describes it as "partial 16S ribosomal RNA". It matches the Rfam family "Bacterial small subunit ribosomal RNA", at positions 29 to 507 of the family's 1533-position model. The record is from RNAcentral.
AGUGAACGCUGGCGGUAGGCCUAACACAUGCAAGUCGAAUGGCAGCACAGUAAGAGCUUGCUCUUACGGGUGGCGAGUGGCGGACGGGUGAGGUAUACAUCGGAACCUACUUUUUCGUGGGGGAUAACGUAGGGAAACUUACGCUAAUACCGCAUACGACCUACGGGUGAAAGCAGGGGAUCUUCCGACCUUGCGCGAUUGAAUGAGCCGAUGUCGGAUUAGCUAGUUGGCGGGGUAAAGGCCCACCAAGGCGACGAUCCGUAGCUGGUCUGAGAGGAUGAUCAGCCACACUGGAACUGAGACACGGUCCAGACUCCUACGGGAGGCAGCAGUGGGGAAUAUUGGACAAUGGACGCAAGCCUGAUCCAGCCAUACCGCGUGGGUGAAGAAGGCCUUCGGGUUGUAAAGCCCUUUUGUUGGGAAAGAAAAGCAGCAGGUUAAUACCCCGCUGUUCUGACGGUACCCAAAGAAUAAGCACCGGCUAACUUCGUG